AUACGGAGGGGGCUAGCGUUGUUCGGAUUUACUGGGCGUAAAGCGCACGUAGGCGGUUUAUCAAGUUAGGCGUGAAAGCCCCGGGCUCAACCCGGGAACUGCGCUUAUUACUGAUAGACUAGAGAGCGGGAGAGGGUAGCGGAAUUCCCAGUGUAGAGGUGAAAUUCGUAGAUAUUGGGAAGAACACCAGUUGCGAAGGCGGCUACCUGGACCGGUACUGACGCUGAGGUGCGAAAGCGUGGGGAGCAAACAGGAUUAGAAACCCGAGUAGUCC
Molecule: ribosomal RNA, 274 nt
Filed under: uncultured bacterium
Lineage: Bacteria
Description: partial 16S ribosomal RNA
Rfam family: Bacterial small subunit ribosomal RNA
Source: RNAcentral